RNAcentral lists this ribosomal RNA (393 nucleotides) under Lemnia biplagiata. RNAcentral's name for it is "partial 16S ribosomal RNA". Lineage: Eukaryota; Metazoa; Arthropoda; Insecta; Coleoptera; Coccinellidae. The record is from RNAcentral.
UCAUUAGUUUUUUAAUUGAAAGCUUGUAUGAAUGGUUUGAUGAAAAAAUAACUUUCUUUAUUUAAUUUUUUAAAAAAUUUAUUUUUAAGUUAAAAAGCUUAAAUAUUUGUAAAAGACGAGAAGACCCUAUAGAGUUUUAUUAUAAAUUAAUAUUUAAUUUUUUAGAAUUUUAUAUUUUUAAUAUUAAUAAUAAUUUAGUUGGGGUGAUUGAAAAAUUAAAAAAACUUUUUCUUUAUAAGUACAUUAAUUUAUGAAUUUUUGAUCCAUUAAUAUGAUUAAAAGAACAAAUUACCUUAGGGAUAACAGCGUUAUUUUUUUUUAGAGUUCUAAUCGAAAAAAAAGAUUGCGACCUCGAUGUUGGAUUAAAGUUAAUUUUAGGUGUAGAAGCUUAAA